This 22104-nucleotide long non-coding RNA is filed under the name Gallus gallus (chicken). The record is from RNAcentral. Lineage: Eukaryota; Metazoa; Chordata; Aves; Galliformes; Phasianidae.
AAGGAGCUGGGCCACUGACUCCUGUUGAAAAAUCAAUGGACCUGGAAAUGCAAACUGAAAGAAAAAUUCUGGUCUCUGAGCUGCAUAAAAGAUCCUUGUUCUGGUUUUCCACAUUCACUAGAGCUCUGCACGUGGUGGGAAGAAUAGAAGAGCAGAACAGAGGUAAGCCCUUUGCUGGCAUAAACAGACUUGACUGCUAGUUUCUUCAAUGGUAAGCUGACUGCAUUCGGUUUGAGUGUCCCCAGGGCUGUGCCAUCAUCAUUCUGUCCCGCUGAAAAUUAUAUCAAGUAAAUGAAAGACAACGUAACCAUUUCCAUUUCAGUGACUGUACUGUAUUAUAUGUAUAUGUGUUGUUGUUUCACCUCUUAGCACUGAGUUGUGUUAGAACGUUGAUUUGUUCUCUGGAAUUUUAAUUUUGGCAGUGAUCAAAUGCUUUGCUUGAAGGACCCUGUGCAACUCCUCAGUGUACUAUCUGUCCACUUUUCUUUCACCUCUGAAACAAGAAUAGGGCAGUACCUUGGUCUAGAAAGAGCAGUUCCUUUUAUAGUAAGCAGGAAACAUGCUGCAGAUGUUUCAGAAAUCUGACUUUUAAAAUACAUUUGUUUUCUAGUAUGUCAGGCUACUCUGACUCAUUCUGCCUUUAAUAGUAUAGAUUUGUAUAUCUUAUACAUUGCUAUGAGAAAUCUCCAGGAGUUGAAGUGAACCUGGAUGCCUGACUCAGGAACUUUUCAUUUUUCCUGGUAUAGAUGUUUAUUUAAAAGUAAAACUCCCUCGUAAGUUUGCAAUAUAUUUUAUUUUUUCCAUUUUAGCUUUGUUUCAGAGAAGCUGCAUAAAUUACACAACCUGUUUCUCCAGUUGCAUAACCAGAAUAUGUAGGCCUUUCCCUAAGAGAACGGAAAAGAUCGAUAUAGCUUUUUUUUUGUGGUUUUCUGUUGUUGUUGUUGGGUUUUCUUUUCUUUUUUUGUGGUCUUCUUAAUACCUUUUCUCUUUUUUUUUUUCCUUUUUUUUUUUCUUUUUUUUUUCUUUUUUUUUUUUUCUCUCCCCCAGUUAUGGUGUUCUUGCUGUGAAUAUUUGUGAUAACUGAGCAGACAUCUCUAAACUGAAUGUAAUCAGCAUAGGCAUGCUUGUCCUGAAGAGGUGAAAAAAGCAAGCAGUGAAUCUGAAUGUAGAGUAUGAUGAGUAACAGAAUGAUGCUCCUGCUCUUGCUGUGGAAUAUUAAGAAUGGUGUAUCUGCUAGGAUGCUUGUGGAAAGUUUCUUACCUCCCAGGAACUCCAUAUUAUUUUUGAGUGCCCUCAUGUUGAACUCAGUAUAGUUUCUGAUGAGACCCUAUGAAGAAUGAUGUCCAUAUACGUGCACAGACACCACAGUCAUCAGUUUACCACAUGCACACAGCACUGGGAAUAGAACUUAAGACCUUCGCCUCCGCAAACACAGCUGCUCAUCUGGCUGUGGGCUUUGUAGCCAGCAGAGGGAACUGACAAACACUCUCAUAGGGCUCCUCUAUAUAUUAUUUCUAACCAAAAGAGGGCACUGAUUCUCACUCACUCCAUUAUGUGUCACCCCUCUGCAGUUCCACCUGCCAUCCAAGAAGCAAGAGACUUACAUUUGUCUUGCCUUUGCUACGAAAUGUGGGCUUGCACGAAGAUUUAAUAAUCAAAAGAUGUCCCUAGACUGCACAGUGGUAUUAAUCUCCUGCAGUGCAAUUAUGAGACAUUAAGUUCAUUACAAAUCAAGACAAUUACAGAAACACAUCCAACAUUUCAGGAGUAUGGGGAGACCAAGCACAAUUGCUUACUGAUGUGUACAAAGAAUAGGCACAGUUAUUGCACAAGACCCACAGAAGGCUUCAGAACCAGGACUCAUCAUUAUCUUUUUAAACUCAUAACUUUUGCCAAAGCAAAAUACUUCUAGCAUAAAGAAUAGAUCUCACUUUCUUCUUGAGGGAAAGCCAUAAAAAGGAAAUACACAUUUGCUGGGAUUUCGUGUCAAUGAAGAGGUAAAAGUAAGAAACUUCUGCACAGUUAAAUACAGAUAUUUGUUGGUUUUAAUCAAAGACAGAACAAGCCAUCACUAUGCUUUUGUCUUUUCUUGUUCCUCACUACAGUAACUCCACUGAAAACCAUUGCUCUUUUAGAAAUAAGACACCAGUGAAAAAAAAAAAACAACCAAUUAUCUCUCUGGAGAAAGAAGGAAUCCAUGUGCUAGGGUAAUUGAAAGGCCAAAAGAGUAAGGGCAAAUACGGGGAUAUAUUUAAAGCUCAGCAAUAAAAUGUAAUCCUUCCUCCCCUGAGAUAUAUAACAGGACAUAGAGCGAACAGGCUGAAAAUGCUGUGCUGCAGGUUUUCUCACUUACUUACAACAACUGUCCUACUUCUACUGCAGGUAGUGCUAUGUCAAUUAAUCUUUUUUUUUCUCUUCCUACUAAAUUUCCAGUUGCCUCUCACAAUUCACUAUUUUAUCUGUGAACAGUGCAAGCUUUGUGGUAACUUUCAAUGUAGAAUGCUUUGCUCCAAAGGCAAGUAGGGCAUUUACUUCUGAAAUCAAGCAUAAGCAUGUGUUAAUUUCAUUUAUUUAUUUAUUGAUAAUGCAACAUUCACAAGACCAAUCUUGUGUUACCAGGACUGCACUGUUAUAGUUAGGUGUUGCUGCCUUUUCUGGUCCAUGGCAGUGGAUCUGUGCUUGCUCAAUCUGAGCAAGAGCGGGCUAGUCUCAGCUAACCACAGAGGGUAAGGAAGGGGAGGUCAUUUGAUUAUUUAUUUAUUUCUGUAUCUAUUUCCCCUCCAAGAAUGACUUUCAAAUCCUGGUAAGGGGGUUGCAAAUGAUUUCAAAGGAAGAUCCAAAGUGUUAAGAUUGAAUUACCUCUGUUAAGAAGUGACACUGAAAUCCUCUCUGCUGUUCAGCCCUAAGGAGGCAUGCGAAGAUGGAUCAGCUGCAAAGGGGUGUACUUCAUAAGGCUGAAUACAAAAUGAAGCUUGGGAUUAAAGUACUGGACUGCAACCCUUAAGAGCUAAAUUUGACUCUCUGCUCUGCAAUGAAUUUCCUCUGUGACCAUGAGCCAAACAGCCCAUGUAUUUAUGUAGAUAACCCUGAAAGUGAUGCCUAAUUAUUUCCAUGGAAACUACAGCAGUUACAAAGAGCACAAUCACACUAUUUCAUGGAGCAAAGUCUCAAGUACAAAAUGCUAUUUUUCAACAUAGUUACCAGCAUUAGUUGUGCAUUUUUGUUAGUGAUGAACAGGAGCUUGCACCCACGCUCAUAACUAUCUGCACCAGUGCAGGUGUUGAUCUACUCUCACUGUUGCCACUGCUGAACAGGUCAUGCUGAACACCAUGACCUCACAUCCACCGUUUGGACUCCAUAAAUGUUCAGCAAGCAUCGACGAAUGUCAAUGGGUGCCAUUUGUUUUUUUUCCCCACAUGGAAGGAUUUAAUGAUACACUUUCGCUUCAUCCACACUCCCAUGCCACAUGCCGUUCUGUCAGACUGCCCCUGUGCCGCCAUCUGUCACACAGCAACAACAUGUAAGCAAACGCUGGUGGGAAGGUUCAAUUUCUACUGCCAUCCCACCAACAUCCGCCUCUGAUGUCAUGGACAGCAUAAAAUAAGGGGCAAUGCUUUUGGGGCAGCCCUGAGAGUAUCAGGAUGGCCAGAGGAAACAUAUCUCUGCCUCACAAAGAGGCGGUGAAAAUAAAUUAGUGUAGAUCAGAAUGUCUCAGAGCCAGUGGGAAUGGCAGGCCGCUGACUAGGUAGUUCAGCCUAUACAGGUAUAACUUUUACAGGUAUCUAGUCUAGUAUUUUUAACGGCAGUAGGAAUUAUGCUAGUAAUUUCACUGGGCAUUUGUGCCCUAAAUGAACACCAAAAACAAAACAACAACCCUUAAAUGCCCUCACCAACAGAAGUGGCUGAGAAUGCCUUCUUAACACUUGGCUGGUCUGUAGUAGAAAAAAUAAUGUAAUCUCUUCACUUUUUUUUUUUUUUUAUAUUGUGGUCAUUACUCAAAAAAAUCUGAAUUCCUUUUUUUUCCCCCCACUGACUCGCUUUUUAUUUAUUUUUUAUUGUGGUUAUAGGAUUAUUUUGAAGUGAUAAUGUUUUUAUCUUACUAUCAGCACGUUUUGAUUUUAAAAAGGAGGUUCAGAUGAGCACAUAAGUAAAGGCAUUUCUAGACACCUAAGUACUCUGGGAGAUGAGCUGGUUACAGUUUCCCUUCAUUCCUUGCUGCCAAGUGAUGCUCAGCUGAAUGAUCUAUUCAGCCUAAGAGAGAAAUUGCUCAGAGGAGAUUCUGAUCUAAAUUAGAUACAUUCCUUUCAGUGGAGUUUUCCUAAUAUGCCCUGCAAUCCAUUUUUGAAAUGCCAAAACAUCACAUUUCACAGCAGGCUUUAAUAAAAGGUAUUUUGCUAUAUACACAUUUCUUGUGGCAAAUGCAUUUUUAAAUAAUUUUUUUUUUAAAUUGAAAAAAUGCUCUAAUAGAAGUUGAUUUCUCUGUUAAAGUUCUGUAUGAAAGCUGAGGCUUUACUGCCAGAUUUUAGAAGUAAAUUCUAUAUGUGAUUCUAAGUGCAAAGCAUAUCUGUGCUUCACAAGAGGGGCAUUUUAGUAGAUGGAAGGGAGUUUACUGUAAAAAAUCCAGUGUUAACUAAGGAGUACAAUUUUGUAGCUUAGAGACAGAAUACCUGUUAUAGGAAUAGAAUCUAAUGAUUUUGCUCAUGUUUUCUAUAGGCAACUUGCAUGGAUUACCUGGAUGCAAAUGUAGUUCUACUGUAAUCCUACUGUAGAAAGCACUGUACUUUGUUUUGAAUAGCUUCUUCUUCUUUUUUUUUUUUAAAGAAGAGUUACUUAUGUAAUCUUCCAGGCAAGUAGCUGAAGGCAAUGUUUUCUUUUCUCCAUUAGAUACAACAAAUAACAUGUAAAAUAAAGAGAAGAAUCUCUUACAGUAUGCAGGAAAGGCCUUUUGAGAAGAGUUCUGCUGAUGUUACACAGAGCUGUAGCUUAAAAAGUUCCAGCUACUGUGAGUACAGCUAUGUGUGGAGAUAAUUCUUUCUUAGAAGAGACUUUUUUAUUUGGGGAAAAAACAACAAAGGGUCAAUUUAGGGAGAGAAUUGUUUGGCUUUCAGAAAGAAAGCCACUCUAACAGCAGAAUGAAUUACAUAGAAUAUAAACAAAGUAUUUACAGUCAGCAUUCACUGCUUGCAUUUAGUAGUUCAUGCUCUCUGAUCUCUGAGCACUGGAGAAGCAUUCUACAAUGAGGAUUUAUUUCUGUGGUGGAAUUUCUUUAAGCAGGUGAUUGUGUAUUAAAAGUGCACUGACACACAACAUGAGAGUGUUAGUCACUAAUAGAUUCACCUCUGUGAGGAUGACAGAUGAACAGAGGGGAGUGCAAACACAGUUUUGAAAGCACUUUAUGUCUUACUGUUUCAACUAUUCAGCAGCUGUCUGCACGAGACAGUUAACUACCCCUUCCUGUGGCAUUAGAAAUACCUAUGGAGGAAACCUUGAUAAAGUACAAUUCAAGCUGAUUUACAGAUUCCAUACAGUAGACAUAAGAGGUCUGUUGCAAGAAGCAGAACUUUGCUUGUGAAACAUGUACUUUAAGCAUAUUUGACACCGUAUAGCAAACUCCAUUAGCCUUGCUGCUGUGCUCCUGUGAGAGCAUACGUUCAGUUACACGUUUUUUACAUGGCAGUGAGACCUGUGAAGGUGCACUUCAUUCCCAAAACCGUCCCAGUCUGCCUCGUAAAUAAGACCAGUUAUAAUCAUUAAAAGAUCCUUCCUUGAGUCAGCACUUUGCGUUAUCACUAAGCUAUUCUUUUUUCUUCUAACUUAAGGCAGCUCUAAAGUGUACUUUUUUUUUUUUUUUAAUAACUUUGACUGGACUGAGACUACUGAGAGGGAUAAUAAAUUGUUAGAAGUGGUCUGGGCAUACUAAUCUCUUCAAAAAUCUAUCAGAAAGGGAGAGAAGACCAUUUCUCAGCCACACAGUGUUUCCCAGCAAGAUCUGUUUUUAUUUCAUUGCCACAACAACAGAUUGUUACUAACUUAACUGUCAGAUGACACUACAUCUUAAAAAAAAUAAAAAGCAAAGCACCCUGCCAGCACCACCCAGCAAGGCAGUGCUAGAGUUCACAUUAAGACUUCCUCACGAUAGCUGGUUAGAACAGAAACCUGAAGCAGCCGUAAUCUUACCUUGAGUGUACAAGAUCCAAGGAGAGAAGAUCACUGGUUCAAAACAGUGGAAGGCUGAGAAAGUGCUCUGAUCAGCUGCUGGUAGCAUGCACUUGGCUUUUAUGUGCAGGUGGGAGGAGCUGCUCCCUACGGUAGGUGGGCAGUAAGGACAGCAAGCAGACAGCCUUCAGAAGGCACUGCACAGUAGGAUUUUGCUCUUUGGGGACAGAAGGAGGGGGGAAAAGCAAGCUGAAUGGCAUUCACAGGAGAAAUAGUGUUGGAUCUGUUGGUUUGUUUUUAAAUGAUUUAGUUAACUAAGGAUUUUAUACUGUAUUUGUUUCUGUGAAUCUGGUGCAUUAUUCCGGUCGCAGUUAGAAUGCUACUAGGUCUCAGUUAGCCUUUUGGAAAGAUUUUUACCUCAGUAGUAACAGUAGAUAGUAACACAAAGUAGUUAUCAGAAAGGCUUGUGCUUCCCUUUCUAAAAAGGAAUAACUACGAAUAAACAGCUUGCUUUCUAUUCAGAACAUCUAUUCGAUCACAUCUCUGGAACCCUCCUCAGUUUCUCUUGUGCAGUGCUACCCAGCUUUUCUUUGAUGCAGCUGUAACUUGUUCCAUCUACACACUAACUUUCUAAUAGUUCAGUUUAGUGGUUUUAUUGUUCCGUGUGUCUGAGUUCUAAACAAUUUUCCCAACUGGAUUUCUCAAAAGGCAAAUGUAGCCAGAAAGACAAACCAGUAGGAAUACACAUUCCUGGUGGUUUCUUUAUAAAAUUAUUCAUUGUUCAUUUUAACUCAUUCACUGCUUUUAGGGCAUGGAAGAAUGGGUGGCGCAGCAUCCAGGCAUUGGCUCCUGGAGGUGAAACAGGCAGUUGUACCCAUCUGGAAUACCCUGAUUCUGUAUUUGCACAAAUUUCUGAAUGAGCCAUUUGGACCUUUACUGGUAUUAUUUACCAUAAUCCAUGAGUAAUGUCUGUGUCAUUUUGGAACAAGUGUGAGUGGAGAAAGCCAGAAAGAUAGAGCAGGGAGAGGAGGACUGUGGUGUGAAAUCAAGGGAGAGGCUAGAGGCACAUCCUGCUUUAAAAUCUGGGCAAGACCAGGAGGAAAACGAAUGGCAAUCCGAAUUUACAAAGUUAAGAUAAGCAAGACAGUAGUGAAUGAGAUGGAGAAUCAAGUGUAAUACAUACCACUUCUUGCACUAGAGGGCCAAAGUUGUCACAGGGUAAAGAAUUAUGAGAUGCUAAUAGAACCUUGGCACUUCUGUCCGUAUCCUGAAUUUGUUCUCAGUGGUGGACUCUUGUGCCCAAAUUCUGUGAUCUGAUUAUAUAUGUUAUUAUCAGUCUAACUAGGAAUCAAGUCCUAAGAUAUUUAUGCUGAGAAUGCAGAUUAAUUCUUAAUAUGGACUCAGGGUGAAAUUCACAUAAUUAGUUUUCUUCUCCUUUUCUCCUUGAUUAUAAUAAGCUUGAAAAAAGUAUUGAAUGGGUGAGAACAACUUGAGUUGCAUGCAAUUCUAUUUUAUUUCUUUUUUGUCAACCUAUAAAUCACUUGUAUAUCAGUUUUAGGUGGUAGAAAUAGCUGCAGAACCUUUGUUGAUGUAGUCUGAGACUGAGAACAGUUGAACUGAAGUGUUAACUGACUGGUUAAGUUGCUAAGGUUUCUAAAGCGUGAUGUUGCUGUUGGAUAGGACGACCUCUAUGUUCUUGCAACUAAUUACCAACAAAAGUCAUUUUGUUAUUCCUGCAGCACUCAGUGGAUUUUUACAGUUCUUAUGAAGAGAUGAGGUCUCUGAAGGGAUUACAGUAUGAUUUUAGGAAGGCUACAUUAAGUAAUGGUAACAGGAAUAGGGUUAUAAAGGGUGCAAGUUAUAGUAAUAAGGUUAUGCAAUAAUUAGUUCAGGCAUGGGUAGUUUGUGAUGGUUUGAUAGAUUAAAUAAUGCACAUAAACUGGAAUUAUACUCAUCUAACAUCUGGUUGGUUUUGUGCUUACAGAAAUCUAGGUCAAGAUUUUCAGAAAUUAGAGAGUAAAUAGAUACCUAUGUCCUUAUUUAAUGACUGUUACUGUCUCAAAAUAGCUGGCUUUUCUCUACAUCCCUUUUAGAAUCAGUGGAUACUUCUUUCAAGCUCGAUACCUUCAAAGGAUCAAGCUAUUUUUUUUUCUUUAAACAGAAACAUAAAGGUAGAGAAUUAUCUGUAGAAUUAUUUUAUUUGAGCUUUUGACCCUUAUCUUCAGGUGCUAAGUACCACUUUUCAAAAGUGGGUCAAUACUCAAGUGGACUCAUAUACCACAGGCUGUGCACGGAUGAUUACAUGUCCUACUGUAUGGCAGACUGAAGGGUAACCUUAUCUUUUAGUAAUUCCAGAAGAGAAGAAAUAAACAAGUUUUUCUUUAGUUCUUCCCUUCAGGCAACGUUAAAGCACUUUACAAAUAUUAAAUUAAAAUAGAUGAAAAGUAUCAGAUUGUGUUAAUCAUUGUUAAAGCACUACUGUGGUGUAAUUAUAUGGAAGAUUACCUGAUAAGACUAGAGCGUUAGGUAUAGUCAUGUAAUUACCUAGUCACUGCACUGUAUUGCUUAUCUUCUCUAAUGAGUUUUUUAGUAGAUGAAAGCUUUACCAAAAUCUCUGUGGGAAAUGAUUUAGUUUGUCACACAAGUAAGUAGAUUCCAGGGCAUACUGCCAGGCUAGACAGUAACUUCAGUGUGGACACAUCCCUGUGACCAAGAAAAAUGUCCAACCUUUCUAAAAUGGUUAGACCCUAUCUACUUCUUAAAAGCAAAGUUAUACUUCCAAGAGUACUUUCAAUGGUGUAGUCCUCUUGCUCCGUUCUUACCCUAGAAUGUCCAGAUUGGUUUACUAUUCGUUUCCAAGAAUUGUUUGGAGUAGCCCAUGCUUUUAGCACGUCCAAAAUCCAUAUCAUACACUCACAUUAUUUUAUAGCAGGUAUAUUACUUUUGUACAAAAUGAAACUGUUAGUAAGGGAAUCAGCUUCAGGAAAGUACCUUAAACUUGGAAAGAGUGUUCUACCAUACUUUUGGGAACUGUACAUGCUCAGCUAAGAAAUGUUGUGUGGUGGUUCAGAGAGCAAGAUGACCAUCUGGCAUAAUUCAACUAACCUUUUUGUUGUGACUCCACACAGAGCUCAGUGCAAAAUCUCCUGAAAUACACUUACACUCAUUUGGGAACUCUGAACUCUUCCAUGAAGGGUUAGAGUGCCCUGGCACUUUCUUAUCAUUUAGCAGACUUGGCAAUGAUCCUACAAAAGGAUUCCCUCAGGCAGCCUUUGCAGCUGUCUUAUGGCAUAAGUGUUACUAUAUAGAAUAUUGGUAUUGCCAACAGUAUCCCUGUAGCAUGUUACGAUUAUGAGACAGAUUACAGCUUGCUAGUAGGGACAGAACUAUAGCCAUAAUUGCUAUAUUUCUGCAAUCACAUUAAGUAUAUUUGCUAUUCAGUCAGAGUCUUCUAUUAAAUUAAAUUUGGUCAGGCACACAAACUGUAUGGUAAAGAAUAACUAUUAACAGAGGUGGUGAAAACUACAGCUAUAUAAAUGAGAGAUAUUUCACUCUAGAUCUUUUAAAAGUAGAUAUGCCAAAAUUCCUACAUUAAUUCCAAUAAAAGAACCAAGUGAUUAACUCCCAGUUUGAGUGUUGCUCAGCUGAAAUAAGUGUGGUUGAAUGUGUUGGCUGUGGGUGCAGAAAGAAUGAAUGUGAAUUGAUGGAGAGUUUGAUUGUGAAUAAACCAUGAUUUAUGUAGCAUUGCAGCAACACCUCAGGUAGGUGACUACUUGCUGUUUGGUGGUUGUAUCAAAGGAGGAGGGCCUCUACCCAGUUAAAUGGCAUGGUGAUGGCAGAAGAUGAGUUAUUGAGAUCAAAUUUUCAAUACUUUUGUUGAACACAAAACAGAUAGAAAUAGAGAGAUCUGAUGUAAAGCAGGAUAAUAUAGCAAUAGAACCCUAGUGAGGUACUCUUCCAACUUUCAUCUAUACAUUAGAAACACCAUAACUUUAAAAAAGAGAAAGAUAUUUCAGAGUUUAUUUGUGUCAUUAGGUAGUAGAAAAAUAUUCUGACCAGCUCAUAGGUAAACUUCUGUUGAUCUACACAACCCUCAUGGAAAUGUAUUCUUAUUUUUAUUUAAUUUGACUGUAGGACCUAAGGCACAAAUGAUUUCUCCUCUUGACCAGCAGUAUGCUUUAUUAACCCGUGGUUUCAGGAAACAUUCUGUCUUCUGUCAUGCUUCAUUGUAAGAUCUAUCCAAAGCCUUUCCAGCAUAUUUAACUUUUAGAGAACUACAUGUGAUUGAAUUAAAUGAGUUGCAGUUUUUUUAGAACAUUGUCUAUUCCACAGUAAAGAUUCACAAACCUAGAGGGAAGGAUAAGGGGAGAAAGUGAAAAAUUUUCAAUUCAAUUUAUAUUCUUCACAUUACGGAGAAUGUCUGAAUUCCACUUUCAAAUUUGUAUCUGUAGAUUAGGGUCACUUAGGUGGUCUGGCUACAAACUGCUGUAUGGCAUUCCAGUGUAGGAUGCAAAAUCAGGAUACAUUUUAAAAGUGCAGAUCUUGCAUUCUGGAUAAGCGCAUAGCAAGGCCUGAGUGCGAGUAUGGAAGUAACACCUGCCGACCUCAACCAAUGUUUUCACCUGUAUGACAAGAGUCCAUUCCUUCCCACAUAACAUGAUAGAGACAGAAUUGAAAAAACUGAGAAGAGUUGCUACAGAACACAGUCAGCUCUGAGGCUUCCAUUGGGAUACACUAUCUGAUUUUCAUGCUCACAGUAUCAAAAUAGAAGAAGAAUGCUUAUUAUCUGAGCAAUGUUUACUUAGGCUGUCUGUUUUUCAGAAGGCAUAUGAUAUAACCUAAGCUAGAUUGAACGUAUAAAGGUUGAAAACUCACUGGCUGGGGUGCGUUUAUGCUGAAAAUAUGGGAGAGUCUCAAUACACAGCAAACUGAAUGUGAGGCAGCAGUGGGCCCUGGCAGCAAAGAAGGCCAACGCUACCUUGAGCUACAGGAGUAGGAGCAUGGCCAGUUGCUUACGGAAAGUACUCUUGUACUUUCCAUACUCUUGUACUCAGUGCUUACUAGGCUACAUUUAGAAUACUAUGUUCGAUUUUGAGCCUCCCAAUGUAAGAAAGAUAUCAGUGAACUGGAGUGAGUCCAGAGGAGGGCUACUGUGCGGCCAGAGCACUUGAUCAGUGAGAAGAAACUGCAGAAGCAGGGCUUAUUCAGCUUGGCCAACAAUUGGCUUGGAGAGGACUUAACAAGCAGCAGCCCCCAGGUACCCAUGGGAAGGUUAUUGAGAAGGUAGAGUAGAGCUCUUUGCAGUGAUGUGUGGUAAAAAGACAGUAGACAGAGCAGGUUGCUCGGUGAGGCUGUGCAGCCUACAUCCUUGGAGGUUUUCAAGAAUCAACUGAACAAAGCUCUGAGCAGCCUGUUCUGACCUCAUGGCUGACCCUGCCUCAGGGAGGGCACUGGACUAGAGACCUCCUGAGAUCCUUUCCAAACGAAAUGAAUCUGUGAUCCUAUGCUAUAGGACAAUAAUACUGAGACAUCUUACCUGAUACUGUGGAAAUGUUCAGAUUAGUUGAUUUUCAGUUCACCUGCAUUUAAGAGACUGAGACACUGGCCCAGAGUAUGAUCAAAGUUGAUAAAGUGUCCAUGUAUUUAAACAUAGAGUGUGUACAUUUCUGAAAAAGAAUACAUUGCAAAUGAAGGUAUUAACUUUCAAUGUAUGAUUGGGGAUUAAAUAAGACUUGUCUUCAGUUCCACCAGAAUGUGCUUGGUGGCAGUAUUAUGCAUUCUGUGCGUAGAUUUUGAGUAUUUUUCUUUUAAAUACGUUUCCUGAACGUUUAUUUAAUGAAGCCAAGUGGCAUACACUUUGGCUGUAAUAUAUAUUCUUUUAAAUCUCUUUGCCAGAAGUUUAUACAGUGUUUUAUUUUUAUUUUAGGAAGCUAAUUUGUGCUCUGUUUCAAAUGAAAUAUAGCAUCCUUGGGAAAACAUGUUUCUGAUCAAAGGAAAUAUUUGCUCCACUGACAGCGAGAUUAACAAUGGAGUGAGCCGGAAUUUGAAUUAAAUGUUGGUGUUUUCUACUCCAGCUCUACUACACAGGACUUGAGCCUUAUUUCAUCGCUAUUGCUUCCUUUGUCCCUAUACAAUUCAUUAGUUUUGAAAUGACAAACAUUUUUUGCUACCUUGAUUACAUCAUUAGUAAAUUAUUUCUCUCCUCUGCACAAAAAAAACCCCUCCCUACUGAGACAGGAUUAAACUAUCCUCGUAAAGCUGCCUGGUAUUAUUACCAUUACACCAUAGGAAUCUGAUUCCAAACAUCUUAACAGGUUUUUUUUUGUUUGUUUGUUUGUUUCCUGAAAAAGGUCAUUUUCAAAAUUAAUUUUGAAGACUGAUGGAGAAUUUUUUGAAACUUAAAAUGGCCCUAAUUGUUCUGGAAAAGGACAGUUUUCAGAGAACACCAAAAGCACAUGAUAAUAAUGACACACACUUUGUUCAAAAUGCAUCACAUUUUAGUCUUGGAGCAGACACAAUAUUAUUUGUCCACAGAAUACCGUGUCAAGGAAGAAGGUCAGCAUCCGCUCCCAGUUGUACUAUUGUACAGUUGUACACAGAUAUGACUGGUGGUGCUCAUAAGAUUUCAGUGGACUUGCUUUUCAUUACUUAGUCUUUUCUUCAGGCUUCUUGCUUUGCUGUAAUAGGUCAGAGCGUGGUCUGUGAAGUGUCUAGCAAAGACAGUCUGUCAGCUUGAUGCCAUUUGCAAGUGUUUCAUCAGUUCUGUUAUUUUUACUGUAUAUGAAGUUGUAGACAGUCUUAAAUCUAUUGAUCUUUGCUUCUUAGUUCAAUGCUCCCAUUAUUCUUUUCUAGUGUAGACCUUAAACCAUGCUAAUUUGUUCCCAGGAACCAUAAGAGUUUAAAAAACAACAAACCCACAACAAAGUACUUUAAUGAAUAUCCAAAAGAGCAAUAAACUCUGCAAACAAGUAUUGAGUUCACAAUAACAUGAUGAUUAAGACAACGUUUGAGUGAUCUGUUCAGCUUGUAGCUAAGCUUUGUCAUGGAAGACCACUGAAAUCAUUACCACUGGGCAACAACUAGAUUGAAAGAAGUUCUAGUAUGAAUUAAAAGCUUUCUGUCACUCUUGGUGGAAAAAUACCAAACUCAAGUAAAUUUCAAUAAUCCUAAGUUUUUCUCAAAGUAUCAGCGUAUCACUGAGUAAAAGAUUGCUUACCAGCAUGUUCCUCAGGGAGAGGAAAGUAAUACAGAAUGAGUGCUUCAUGACACAUUGGCACUUUUGCAUGCAUUCCCAAGUGGUACUUGGCACUACUGCUCUUUUUUUUUCUUUUUUUGGGGUACGUUUCAUCUGAAAAAAAGCUCUUUUCAAUAUGCAAAACACUAAAGGGAGAGAAUGUGUAGAAAAUGAUCAUUUCUAUGUAUUAUAUUCUGGACAGUCAAAGGCAUUUUUCUAACUGUAGAAAUUCUGUUAGACAGCUCCUUAAAGUUCAUGAUAAUCUCCUCGGUUUUAUUAACUUUUCUCCUUUGCAUCAUGGGUUCAUUCUCGGUGUGUUCAUCUCCUACUGAAACUGGAGGAGUUAGGUCAGUGUUGGCUUUUUUUUUAAUUUAAUUCCAUUCUAAGCUUUAACAGCCUUUUGGUAAUGCACUGUAAUGCAGUGAGUUAUACUAGAUGAAAGAGUGACGAGAGAGUAAGCUCACCACCUACUUAAAAAGGGCCUUUUGCUUUUAAGAUGAUAACAGUAAACUUGGUUUUCAUUUGUGUGUGCCUGCUGGAUAGACUUCAGUGGCAACACAACAACCUGCAGAAAGGGCUUUCCUCUUCUCUGAUCUCCCUUUGGCCUAGAAAUUGAGUGGAGCUUUAGUGGAAGAAAAACAUAUUGUAUGUGAUUAAUUAGAGAAUUCUUCUCCUAGUGCAGACUGGUUGUAUUACUGUCAGACAGAUGAAGCAUCCAGAACUGUCACAGCUUUGUAACAGGAACGUGUUUCCUCUACUCCGCAAGUAGGUGAGUGGUACUGCUGGUACAGACACUACAUUCUCCUGUGGGAGAUUCAUAACCUCUGCCAUGAGUCACGGAGCUAACAGUGGGGCUUUCUUGUACCAGGAUACUUUUAGACUGUUUAUCAAACUACUUCAGUUACCAAUUUCCAAGCCAGAGCUCAAUGCUAUAAUUUUUUUAAUUUAUAGAGAGGUUGACAUUGUUUUAUUUCUGAGAGUGCUCAGUUCAGACUUAUUUUAGAAAAGUACAAGAACUCUGCUAGCUAGGCUGUGUCACUCACCCAGUUGCACCAGGAAAAGGCAGGCUGAACUAAUGAAGCUUCUCUAGGCAUAGCAUGUUCUGUGAAAGCCUUUCUGCUCAAUCCAGAUGCACAGGCACUUCGUAUCUUGAAACAUUUAUUUCUAUUUGUGUUGGACUGGUUGGAGUGUCCAAGCAUUACUUUUUCUCAAACAGUUUCAUGUUUAUGUGUUACUGUUAACAUUUGAAUAAGCACAAAGCCAAAAAGCAUUUUGUCCCACAGAACUCAGAUGAAGUUUAUGCCAACUAAAGAAGCAUUUUUUAAAAAAAAUGAAUGGAAUCAGCUGCACGUAGCUCCUUUGGGCUUCUCAGUACCACUCGUGGAGCAAUUUCUCCCAAAGAUGAUUAGAAAUGAGGUAUCAGACAUACACCAUUGACUGUGCAGAGAAGUAGACUAUUCUGCAAGUCAGCUGCUAUUUGGCAAAUCAUACCUGCACGUUCUUGACAUGCAACAGAGCAGAGGUACCUGAAUAGUGUUCUGUUCAGGGAAGAUGACUUUGGUGUAAAAUGCUGACCAACUUGUUAUCCCGUAUUUGUAUGUAUGUGCCAUUGCUUAUCACACUUUACCUGAUAAAUCCUAUCUGUCCAUUCCAGAGAAAUUCCAGGGUUACAUGCUUGACCAGUUUCUGGUUUGGAUAACUCACUAAAGUCAGAGAUACUUAUAUAUGCCAUCUGAUUCAGGAACAAUGAGAACAGAUGUAUUGUCUUUCUCACAGGAUUCUCUACUUUUCUGAUGGUAGAGGAAAUACCGUAGCUACAGCCUUUCUCAGGCUUUUAUGAUGUCUGGUUUUGGAUGAGAAGGACAUUGUCACACGUACUUUAUUAAUGAUUUGGAAUCUUCAGCUGGUUUUCUACAUAACUUUUCUUUAAGAACAUUUUCAUAUUAGCUGGUUUAUUUAUUUAUUUAUUCUUAAUCUUAUGGAAGCAAGAAAAUCACAGCAGAGUGCCCCUUUACUAAUCUUUUUUUAUAUUUGCUUCUCUGAAGAUAAGCAGCAUGGCUGUAGGAUUAUAUAUGCUGUACAUAUACACUCAUACUGUUUCCAUGCAGGUGAGUUAGGAAACACUUUUUUCAACUGCCAUAAGUUUGUCUGAAGCAAAUGAAUACAACCUCCUUUCAGUUUCAGGAGUUGUAGAGAGAAUCUGAAUUUCUGCAUCUGCAUCUCCUACACGUGCAAAUAUUCAUACUUUGCUCAGUGCUGAGAAGGUCCAACUUCAGGCAUCUCACUUCUAGAAAGAUGCACACUAAUUGCAGAGGAUUCAGAACACAGCAAGAGGAAUGAUCAGAGGUCUGUGGCUUCUGACCUCCAAGGAAGUAGGAGAGUUUGGGCUUUUUGGUUGAAAGAGAAUAUUUAGGGGGAACAUUAACUAACAGUCUUCACAAGCACGUAAAAGGGCAUUGCAGAGAGGAAGAGGCAAACAAAUAAAUCGAAUCAAAAUUUGGAGCAACAAAUAGCAAAGUUUGCUAUCUUUUUUUUAUUAUUAUUUGAAGAAGGAUCUCAACUAGUCUGCUUAUUUACAUUGGAACACGUGUGCAGCCAACUCUAAAGACUUCUGUGUUGCACUGGGAGUUAUCCAGACAGUGUGUGAAUCAGUAUCAAGCACUUGAAAUGAUGGAUCACACGCUCUGAAUAGCAAGUACUUGAAGCCCUUAUUAACUGCAAAAAAAACUUGUGUGCAGUCCAUAAAGUGGAGUAUGGUCACGUAAAAAAUAGUUAAGUAAUUCUGAAUGUUCAACGUCUGUUCAGUGAUUUUGAAUAAUUCUGAAUGCUUGAAGUCUGUUCAGUGAUUGAUUCUGACCUUAAACAGGCUAAGUUAUUCCUAUAUGCUGUCCAGCCGCAUUCAAUAUUUAUUUUCACUUCUGAAUCAUUCAGUAUUUAUUUUCACUUCUGAAUCAUUCAGGAUUACUGUUUCCAGGUUUUCCCCUGUACUCAAUCCUUAUGUUUCAGAUUAUUUCCUCUACUAGUACAAGCUUGCAUUAAUCUUUUUUAAACACAAACGGUUAUUUUGUGCUGAUGUUUCCAGUCUCCAUGUCUACGUAUUUGUCACUCCUUGUUCAUGGAGUUGUUAAUGAAGAGUUUGAACAAGUGUUGCUUGGAAAAAGAAAAUGUAAGAUCUUUCCCAAAUUAUAUCUUAACGUAUUUCAAAAACACUGACGUGAUCUUUCAGCGUCAGCUAAGUCCCAGAUAACUGGGAAACAAACAGAGUAUUGGUGCAAUUUUAAAAUAACUCUUUCCUACCUGUCAGCCUCCUUCUUCUUCCUGGAACAACUUCAAUAGACAUAACCCACCCCAACCUUCCAAAAUCUGAUCAAUAUCUACAAAAAAUGUCUAGAGGUCUAGAUAAUAAAUUUUAUUCUGUUGAUAUUAUAUUGCUGCUUUUAAUUAGAGAAAAAAACCUGCCUAGUGUACGAGUCCCGUGUCUUUAUAUUUUGUGUGAUGACUUUCAAUAGAUAAGGGGAAUACUGUGAAGCUAGGGCUAUCACACGUGACACUUAGGAUUGUGAAGAGUCCGAGUGUAAAGUGGAAAUUCAGCAUCAAUAUCAGAAGACAGUAAGCAAUUAAAAAAUAAAAACAAAAGUCACUGCAUUUGUCUCUGAAAUACAUCCAGUACUUUGUCAUUUUGUAAAUGAUAAGCUGCUGCAGCUACAGUUACUGUAUGUGUGUGUGUGACUGCUUGUAGAGAUCUCUUAGCAGUUCAGUGCAAGUUAAACCAUUUUUCUUUUCAGUUGAAAAAUUCAGUGGUUUCUCUGUUUCAAAUAUUAGCCAGGGGAACAUCUUUUUUAAAAAGUAGAAGAUGUUGCAUGUUUAUUUAUUUCAUUAAUUUAGACAUGAACCUGAGGUAUACAUCCCAAUCUAAAUCUAGGGUAUAUUAAAGUGUAUUUUAAUUUUCAGUUGUAUCUGAAAUUAAAUUUUCUGUUGACUCAACUGAUUCUCUGCCAUUUUACUAAGGGGAGGUGGUAGCCACUCACAAGCAAACGGGUAGCAAAUGAAAUUAACACAAAUACCAUUAAAUAAACAACAGAGAGUCACUGAGCAGAGAGAUUUGAGCAAUGCGUGGUUUCUCUUAUCUCCCUAUGAUGAUGGUACACUGCAGGAGUUCAGCAGAGUUCCCAUGGGCUAACAAAGGUGCACAGAGUGUACAGGGGUUUUAUGGCUGGUUCUGUGGGACUGUCUGUGCUGCAGCACUCAAAACAUGACUGUAAGGGAGUGAAGGGAGCCAAAGGAAGAAUAGUGCAUGCUGUAGGCUUUUUAGGACUAGCAAUGGGAAAGAACAAACCUAGCUUAUCAAUGAACAUGCAAUGGAGACCAUAACUGAAAGUCACUGAUUUACAUCAAAGGCUACAAGGGCUGUUUAUGUCUUUAAUAGAAACAGUUCUUCACAGACUGGAUGAAAUGUUCAUUCGAAAUAAAAGGAUAAGAAGUUGAGAAAUACGGCAACACAGAAAAAUGGAAGUGGAAUCUGUUGUUAAGAGAGAACAGAAGAAAUACUGGGAGAAGUGUUGGUAAUUCCAAUGGUCCACUCAUCCAUUUGUUUUAUCUCAGUCUCUUCUUCUUUCCUUCCCUCCUUUCCUCUUCCCCUCUGCCAUUUUUGCUCUCACUUGCUCUUUCAUAUGAGCUACGAAGAUGUCUGGCCAUGUAAAUAUAUCUGAGAAUACAAAAAAAGUCCCAUUAUGACACAAACCACUUUGAAGUAUUUGAAGAAUGGUCUCUCACCAGUGGCUGAUGUGAACGUUCAAAGGUUUGUUUUAUUGUUCUUUCACAUUGUGUUUGAAUUAUUGUUUGGAUAACCAUGGACUACAACCUAAACUAACUUACUAUGACAUCUGAAAUUGUGGUUAAGUGGGGAAAAAGAUGAAAAAAAAAAUCUCUCUAGAAGUUCCCUUUGUGUAGAUGUGGGCCAGAUCUUGUAUGUGCACAGGUAUGCGAAGGAGCUCAAAUUGUCCUGAAGACCAACCAGUUAUCCUACUGGACAACCUGUUCUGCCUGUCAGUGAGCAGAACAUCUGGCAUCAUGGGGCUUUUUUACUUUUUGUUGGGGAAUCAAACGCUUGCUCAUCAGAAUCUGUUGAUCUCCGUUUAAUUUCAAAAAGUAAAUUAGCCAAUAAAAGUUUUUGCCUUCCUGUUUUCAGAUGAUCCCAAAUACUGCUAUUAAAACUCCGCUAUCUUCCUGCAGCUUGCUUUCAUAAAUCUCAUACACUUUCCUGUGCUGUGCACAGUCUUCCUACCUAAUUACCCUUUCUAAAACUUCUCAAAACCCAAGCUCUAUUUGCACUUGUCAUAAACUGACAUCUAAUUCUGCAGUGCUACCUGUUGCUUGGGGUCCCACUUAUUUGCCUAGGUAAAAAUUAAAGCUGUAAGAAAUCAUUUGUACUGUUGAGAGCAGACCUCAAUUUACCCCAGAGAGCUUCUAGCACAUCAUACAUACUUCUGAAACAGAUCUUGUUUUUUUCUAAAUGCUUUUAACCUUUCAUGCUUACUAUCAGAGCCACCUAAAGCAUUUGAAUUUGAACAACUAUGCCUCGUAGUUCUACUGUAGGACAGAUGAUGCAGAGCAGACACAGUUCUCCUGUGAUGGUCCUGAUUUUAUAGGUCUCUACUAUACCCUCUCUUUUCUAGAUGAAAUCUAUGGGCCUCACUCAAUGCCCACUGCUGUCUAGGUGAAGUCUCUUGGUCUGCAAACCAAAAGGCAAAGUGCCCAAUAGUAUCCACAAUUACCACCUUGUGAAAUGGCCUGUGUCAUCUGUUCUGACUUAAAACCCAAAGUUCCUGCUUAUACACAGCAAUGUGUAACGAAGCCUGACUUAAGGUAGGUGUAGCGGAAAUGCUAAGUCACAGCUUAAACCAGUGGCUGAGCACCUGGUAGGAAGGCAGGGCCGACUCAGGGGAGCUCAGGUGCAAACAGUGCACUUGAUUGACUGGAGGGGGUGGAGGAAGGAUCCACUCCUUCCCAGAUCUCAUUUAAGGGCUGGCAGUGGAGGUGAGAGUAUCUUUUUGGAGAUUCCUGUAUGUCUGAGGCUUCCUGAAGGUAAGCAGCCUCUUAUUUCUGUGGCUGUUGUAUUUUAGUAAAUCCUCCAUCCCUGCAGCCAGGGAUCUUGCUGUUCUGCUGUAAUUGCAGUGCUUUCCACUGUGUUACACUUGGUGAGCCAGCCAGGAGAACCAUUGUGUACUGGCCUAUGAAGGAGUGUAGACUUCAACCAUGAAUCAAUCAUCCACUGUCUCACAUUUUGUCAGUCACAUGAUUUGCCCAUUGCAAUGUUGUGGUGUACUGGAUCAUCAUCUUAGAAAGGGCUUACCUUUAACCUGCUCAGUCAGUAGUUCAUGCUGUAAAGUGGUGGAGUGUAGUGGAAAUGCUGAGUCAUGGCUUGAAGCAGUGAUUGAGCACCUGGUAGGAAGAUAUGGCCAACCCAGGGGAGCUCAGGUGUAAGCAGUGCACCUGAUUGACUGGAAGGGAUGGAGCAGGAUCCACCCCUUCCUAGACCUUAUUUAAGGGUUGGUAGUGGAGGCAAGGGUGUCCCUCUGGGUAUUCCUGUGUAUGUGAGGCCUUCUAAAGGUAAGCAGUUUCUUUCCUAUACUGUUGUGCUUAUGGCUGUUGUCUGAGCAAAUCUUGUCUUCCUGUAGUCUGGGAUCUUGCUGCUUUGCUGUCAUAUUGCACUUUCUGUUGUAUUACGGUAGGAUACCAGCUGACAAAGCAAGCACUGAGUUGAUUAAUUUCUCCAAAUCUUGAUUUGUAUGUUCCUGAAAGGGCUUGUAGAGUAAAAAACUAAGUGCAGGACUGGCGUUUCUGACCAUCAGGCAGGCAGAGAGAAGAGUACACUGGGAAGUUUAUUAUAAAAAUAAGUAUACACAAAAAUACACCCAUAUGAGCACAUAGUGUAAGUAAAGCCUUGGCAAGGGUCUUAAAAAUGUGUUUAAGGAAUGGUUACAGUAAGGAAAAUAUUGCUGCAAGUACAGUUAAGUCAAUGAGUAUUUGUGAGAGUGAAAACCACAUGGGCUUCUGUCUGUUUUGGGCAUUUGUGGAGUUCCUAUCACAGCUGUAGUGCAGUUCCACCUAGAUAUGGAUGCUUGCUGUUGAGUCUGAACCACAAAAUUGAGCAUGUAAGGGAAUGGUAUUCAGGGGCAAAAUAAUAUUGUUAGUAUGGGACACUGAUGUAAUAUGAUGGCACACUUACAAAAUAAACAGUGCUUUAUGCUUUUGAGUGUACCCUGCCUUCUUGCUUGUCCUUGCUGCGGACAAAACCACAUGUCCCAGUUGCUGUGGGACUGGGGAUAGUGGGGCAGCUGUUCCCUGCCCUUAUUUCCCAUUUGUGUUGGCUUUCUCAGUUUGGCACCUAUUGGUACCCUUUGCUGUAAGAAGUGUAGGCCUUGAACUAGAGAACCACUUCCAGGGAAUUGGAAAUGGUCUUUAUCUGUUUGCCAUGUAUAAGAAAAAGGCUACAAAGAAUAGGAAGUUCAUAUGUCUGCAUCUGUUCUGUACCUUCAGCUUCCUUGUCUGCACUGUAAAUUCUUCUUGACUUCCACAUUAUGAUGUGGAACACACUCUUGCUUCUAUGUAUAGCUCUCCGAGCCUGAUUCCCUUCUAUGUGAUGGGCUCAUUUUCCUAGCCCCAGUACAACAAAUGGCUAGAGGGAAAAUACCAUUUUAUUUUUGUCUGAAUGCCAGAAGAAUCACCAAAAGGAAGUCUUGAGAUUACUGUUCUUGCAGAAAGACUUGCUAGUUGCUCUGUCUUUUGGUCAAGAAAUAGGAAAAAUUCUGCCUUUUUUUUUGUGUUGGUCUAAAAGCCUACAAAGGAAGGACUUCCAGGCAAUGUUUAUAAAACACUAGAGAGGACUGAGUGACACCUUUAGAUGAUUCAUGAAAUCUGUUGCCUUUAACAAGGUGAAUUUGAAUGACACUUCUGUGACUGUAACCGGGGCUCAGUGCUUUGCGUGCUGGGGUAGUGAUGUGCUGUAAUACCUGUGCGUUCCAUCCAUGUGAAUUUCUUAAGGGUGGCUUGGUCAGAUUGUGGAACUUCCUUCUUGUCAUACAGAAUUGCAAUGUAGUGAUGGAUGUGGAAGAGAUCUGUUUCUCUGGGCGACUUCUGUCUUGAUAGCUGGAUGUUAGCGAAUGCAGGCUGCUUCUGUGUGUGAUAAACCUCCUGUACAUGAACAGAUCUGUAAUGUUACUAUCCAAUUAUAUAUACAGGAGUGACAUGAUAGAUGCAAAGCUGCUUGUGAUGGGUAAGUUACAGUCUGGAUUGUUUGACAGUUAUCUUCAAAAGUUGUGCCUCCUCUCACAAGAGAAAAUUCUGUGAUUCUUAGAUAAUAAAAAAGGUCAUUAUUGGAGUUUAUCUGCCAACUCAGAUUUUGAAGGCAUGCCUAUAUGUAAGAAAAGGGAGAAGGAACGCAAUUUUUUUCUGAAGUGACAAGUGACAACACCUCCUUUUUUUUUUUAGUCCAGUUUCCCAGGGAUGUCUUGUCCAAAUGGCCUCACACUUUCCCGAAAUAUUUUCCUCUGGCUACAGACCAAACACAAGAACUGUAGGCAAAAAAUAUUUCUUUUAAAGAGAGACUGAAAGGGUAUCUGAGUGGAGGAAAAGAUUUUUCAAGCAUAUUGUGAUAUGUAUUGAAUGAUAGAUAAUAUUGUUUAUUUAGCUCCUAGGGCUGAAAAUUGUGAUUA